Molecule: long non-coding RNA, 1468 nt
Filed under: Salmo salar (Atlantic salmon)
Lineage: Eukaryota; Metazoa; Chordata; Actinopteri; Salmoniformes; Salmonidae
Description: lncRNA (ENSSSAG00000118521.1)
Source: RNAcentral
GUGUAGGCCUCGGGGUGUCUUCCACCAGACUGCUGGUCUGUGGGACUGCUCUGGUUCAGUUCCCCCAGUGAUAGUGACACAGGCAUGGAGAGUCCAGCUUGUGUUUCCCUGUAGCUGGGUCUGGUGUUACUGGGCCUGGGUAGAGGUGGAGGAUAGGAUUGUUACUGGGCCUGGGUAGAGGUGGAGGAUAGGAUUGUUACUGGGCCUGGGUAGAGGUGGAGGAUAGGAUUGUUACUGGGCCUGGGUAGAGGUGGAGGAUAGGAUUGUUACUGGGCCUGGGUAGAGGUGGAGGAUAGGAUUGUAACUGGGUCUGGUGUUACUGGGCCUGGGUAGAGGUGGAAGAUAGGAUUGUAGCUGGGUCUGGUGUUACUGGGCCUGGGUAGAGGUGGAGGAUAGGAUUGUAACUGGGUCUGGUGUUACUGGGCCUGGGUAGAGGUGGAGGAUAGGAUUGUAACUGGGUCUGGUGUUACUGGGCCUGGGUAGAGGUGGAGGAUAGGAUUGUAACUGGGUCUGGUGUUACUGGGCCUGGGUAGAGGUGGAGGAUAGGAUUGUAACUGGGUCUGGUGUUACUGGGCCUGGGUAGAGGUGGAGGAUAGGAUUGUAACUGGGUCUGGUGUUACUGGGCCUGGGUAGAGGUGGAGGAUAGGAUUGUAGCUGGGUCUGGUGUUACUGGGCCUGGGUAGAGGUGGAGGAUAGGAUGGUAAACAGAGGCCUGACUUGGCAGACAUGUUUAUGUCUGUGUUGCCAUCUGUGACUGUGUGUGUUCUGUGUGUGUUUGUGUGUUCUGUGUGUGUGUUUGUUCUGUGUGUGUGUGUGUGUGUGUUCUCUGUAGUUUGGCCACAUCCCUGUGUCUCCGGUGUGUUUCCAUGUCUGGACUUCCGAUUGGAGCACUCACUCACUCACUCACUCACUCACUCACUCACUCACUCACUCACUCACUCACUCACUCACUCACUCACUCACUCACUCACUCACUCACUCACUCACUCACUCACUCCCUCUACUCUAUAUUCUCUCUCCCUCUACUCUAUAUUCUCUCUCUCUAAAUUUACCCCCCCCACACACUAAUGGUCAAAGCAUGUUGUGACCAUCUGACCGGUGAUAUUGUGAGAUAAAUGAGAGGGAGGGAGAGAGGCAGAGAAAGACAGGGAGAGAAAGACAGAUGAAGAGGGACAGGGAGAACGAGAAACACAACACAAACAGACCCCACAGAGCCCCAGGACAGCAACACAAUUACACCCAACCAACCAAAUCAUCAGAAAACAAAAAGAUAAUUACUUGACACAUUGGAAAGAAUUUACAAAAAAACAGAGCAAACUAGAAUGCUAUUUGGCCCUACACAGAGAGUACACAGUGGCAGAAUACCUGACCACUGUGACUGACCCAAACUUAAGGAAAGCUUUGACUAUGUACAGACUCAGUGAGCAGAGCCUUGCUAUUGAGAAAGGCCACCGUAGGCAGACCUGGC